Molecule: ribosomal RNA, 225 nt
Filed under: Triticum aestivum (bread wheat)
Lineage: Eukaryota; Viridiplantae; Streptophyta; Magnoliopsida; Poales; Poaceae
Description: partial small subunit ribosomal RNA
Source: RNAcentral
AUGGCCGCCUCCUUUCAGUUCGCGCCGAUGCGUUUCCGGUUGCCCCGUUGCCAGCAUCUCCCAUCCACGACGCUCCCCUCUGCUCGUCUUAUUGCUACCCCCUGCAAGCCUGCGUCGCCAUGGUCCAUGGCGUCGACGCCGGCGAACCCCUCACCCCCGGACGACUCUCCAUGUCUCCUCCAUCUCCGCGCAUGCCUCCCGCCUCGCUGCGGCCGCCAGAUGUGA